RNAcentral lists this ribosomal RNA (429 nucleotides) under Triticum aestivum (bread wheat). RNAcentral's name for it is "partial small subunit ribosomal RNA". Lineage: Eukaryota; Viridiplantae; Streptophyta; Magnoliopsida; Poales; Poaceae. The record is from RNAcentral.
AUGCAGGAUGUACUGAACCCAGAAGGCAUCGUGAAGAAGAGAAAAAGGCGUAAGGUUAAGAGGUCUGAGUGUCCAGCCCACCUUUACCUUACGCACAAGGAUGUGUGGUGGAGAGUCGAACGCUUUGAUGACAACCACAACCAUCCACUGAUAAGAAAGCCAUCUCUGAGAAAAUUUCUAGCCUCACAUAGGAACAUUCCCAAAGACGAGUAAGAUUUCUUACGGAUUCUACAUGAAUGCAACAUAGACACCGCAAGGCAAAUGCAACUAAUUUCAUGGUUCUAUGGUGAUGCUAAGAAUGUACCAUACACAACACAGAACCUUGCAAAUCAGCAAGCCAAGUUUCACAAGGAGUACCGUAAUGCAGACGUGGGGAGCACAAUUGCAUACUUUGAGGAGCUCAGGGCAAAGGAUCCAUAUUUCUAUUGA